Long non-coding RNA from Oenanthe melanoleuca, 4855 nucleotides. RefSeq lists it as uncharacterized. The record is from RefSeq and is a predicted model, not a curated record. NCBI's taxonomy places the organism in Eukaryota, Metazoa, Chordata, Aves, Passeriformes, Muscicapidae. The transcript has 3 exons.
CUAGGUUUUGGUUUCUGGUAAAGCCAGUCUGAUAAAGAGCCUCCAGGCUUGAUCAAUAAUGAGAAUACAUUCCUAUGGUUGUCAUUUCAUCCUAUCCUGUAGUCUAUCAGAAAUGUAAUAAGGAAAGAAAGGUAAUUUUCAAGAACUUAAUUUUAUUAUGCAGAAAAAUAAUCAAAGUAUUAUCCUUUUCCCUUAGCAUGCUGGGGUUUAGCACUUUGUAAAGAAAGGUUAUAUCAAUGUAGGACAUGUAUUUUGGGUAUUUAGGUGUUUCUCCAUUUUUAUGAGAAAUCCAGUUUUGACUAAUGCAUGAGGGACUAGACAGAGCCUCCCUUUCCUGUAUUCUGGGACAUGUUCCAUGGGAGAAUUCAGCAGAAAACCAAUUCCUGUAAAUUAAGUUAUGACAUCCUUAUCAUGUUUUCCAGCUCCUCUCAUAUAGCACAGCAAUGUAUGUCAGAAGGGGAUGUGUACACUGUGGUCUGGUUUUGAUACCAGUGAGAUUUCACAUUGCAGUCCUGGCUCUUCUGUUUCAAAUGGCAAAGGGAAAGCCGUACCACCAGGAAAACGAUAUAAAACACUGUUUAUGGAUAUUUAAUUUCAGGUUUAUGAAGUAGGAAAAAACCCAAACCAAAACAAUCACAUGCCAAACCAGCACAAUUGAUCUGUUACUGCUGGGAUCUGUCCUUUUUUGUUGUUGUUAUGUAAACUGCGUGACAGGCUGGCUUUCCAACGGUGGGAAAAUCUCCUGAGAAGAAACGUGUCCCUCGCUUCCUCUGGGAAUGCUCAGUACCCUGGAGAUUCUUCUUGCUUGACAUUUUGUUUCUCAAGUGACUACUGGACCUUUGCUCAGAUGAGAUAAGUAAUUUUUCUUUCCCUGGCUACAAGUAGUACAUGUAAUUAUGUAAUUGUAAGGCUUAAGGCUAAACUGGUUUAUGACAGUUCUCCCAGAGCUUUUCUGAGCCAGGCUGAGCUGGGCAGUGUUACUUUGGCCAUGUUUUGGUGGCAGCACAGCAAGCUCAAGAAAUCCCUGUUCAUUGCCCAUCCCUGCUCUCAUACAAUUUCCCACAGCAAAUUUCGGGACCAAUAUACUUGAAGGGAAACUAGGGUGUACUUCUUACAUUUUUGAGCCAGAAACAAGCCCUGUUUAUAAAAUUAAAACAGAUCUUUAUUCUAUUUUCUGGAAAUACAGCAGUUAGUGUGAAUAAAGGCUGUAAAAUACAAUGAGCUUGCAUCUGGAAAAUUUGAAAUCCUCCACAAAACACCAGAUUCAUUAUGUUCAGAAUAUCAAAUCACAAAUUUUAGCUAACCUGAACCUCUUCUUUGCACCUGAUAGUGUUUUCAGAUAGGAGCUGCUCACAUGCACAGCAUUUGGAAGGCACUUUGCAGGCUCACAGGCAGGACAGAUCUAAUAAAUGCACACAAGGGAUCCAAACAGCCUACUUAAAUUUAUUUUCAUUGUACAAUGUUUGCAUCUGGAAUUUCAAACAGCACCAGUCUACACUGCACUGUCUGGAGGUCUGUCUCCAAAAGGAGACAAUUCUUUCAAAACCAGUACUGAACCAUUAGAUAUUAUAUUAGGUAACACCAAAUCUUGUUUUCUUACUGGACUACUGAUGUAUCUUUUUUUCAUUAUAACGUGAGGUUCUGUUGCUACAUAAUCUUCCUCCCCUUUUUUUACCAGAAAACCUACAGAACAAAAGUAGACUGCUGCCAUAUGGAAAGGGCAGCUAGAGCCUUACUGCUGUUUCCUUUUCUAUUAGAGGAUACACUGAAAUGUCUAAACAAAGAUAUUUGUGGUUGUAUGGAAGUUUAGGGUUAAAGAGCUCCCUGGGGCUGGAAGGCACACACACACGCUGCCUGGGAAGGGCUGCUGCAGGGUCAGGAAGGCUCCCCUGCUAGACAGAUUUCUGCUCUGGAGAUCCUGCUGCUUUUCCCUUUGAAUGCCCUUCCUGCCUGGACUCCUUAAGUAGAUAUUUAACUGUAGGAUCCUUACAAAUUCUGCUGAUUUGGAGGGGGCUUCACACAAGUGUACAGGGAUUGCUGAGCUGUUUAGGAUUUCAGAGGUGCUCAGGUGUUUUACAGAAUCACAGAAUGCUUUGUGUUAGAAGGGACCUCAAAGCUCAUCCAGUUCCAUCCCCCUGCCAUGGGCAGGGACACUUUCCACUAGACCACAUUGCUGACAUUCCCAUCCAGCCUGGCCUUGAACACUUUUUAUCUCAGUGGGUAACAGCAUCUCCAGUGUUUUAAUUUGGUUCUAUUUAUUCAUAUUAGCAGACAGUACUCUACAAUUCCAUUUAUUAGGUACUUAUGUCUUAGCAAGUGAUUCCCAAAACUGGAAUCCAGCACUUGCAGAUUUCCCCUUCAGAAGCCUUUGAUCUGAAAUAAAUCAAAACCAAAUUUACUUCACCAGAAAGAAUAGUACAUUUACUAAGAAAUGUUUUUAAAACCGUGACAAGCUGACAUUCACUUCUGCUUUCCUUCAAAACUGUCCAUCCUUUAACUUCUUUAGAGCAUUCCCACAUUAGCCUGGCUCCCUAGAGGACCUGUCUUCUCCCUUGGAUGACAAAUUCCUUCAAGUCUGCUGUCUCUGAUAUCCCUGAUCUCCUCUGUUUCCAUCUUGCCUGAUCAUUGUCUCAUUACAAUACUCCAUGUGUGCUGGAGAUGGCUGGGUUUUAUUCUUCCUUUUGCCCAGCAGCCCUUUGUUGAGCUGGUUCACUGGAGUGGCCCAGCCAAAUUGUUUCAGCAUUCACUCUCUGUUUACCACAGAGAAUCCAUGUUGUGAAUGCUCAAAAUGUGUAAGACCCUCACAUGCCAUAAUCAGUUUCUUAACAGAAGGAAAAGCAGAAUCCAAGGAAAGGAAGCAGGAAUCUGGUUUGCCCCUGACAGCCCCUUGAACUGUGCUCCGGCAGCUCGGAGCGAGCCUUCCCUGGGGGCGCAUCAGGCACAUGUGCUUUGGAGAGCAGGAGGAGCCGGGCUGAUCCCGCUGCUGCUGCGGGGAGUUCGCAUGGCCGCGGCGUGUGACCCAGCUGGGAGCGAGUCCCUGCCUGCCUGAAGGGGCUGCACGUAGCUCUGUGCUCGCUGCCCAUUUCCAUGACCAAAUUCCAUGUCCUGCACGGCAUGUGCAGCUCCCAUGCGGCGUCAUCCAUGGCUGGGGAGCUCCCCAGGGGCACGAAUGGGCACUGAGAGUAAGUGCUACCCUUUAAAGCUCACAUCUCUCAGUGAAACCAUUCGGCAAGCUCUCUGUGUCUUUGCUAAUGAACAUUUCACCCCUUGAAAGGUAUUUUUACCCUCUUCUGUGGGUGUGCAUGAUGCUGAUGGGUCCAUAUUUGUGGCAGUUUUACCAAGCUGAAAUGCCAUAGCCUCUUCAUGAUUUCAGGCACCAAAUUAUUGUGGACAGUUUUCCAAAGGGAAGAAUCUGUUGCUACUAAGAAAAUCCCUCCCCUUUUCACAACAAGAACAAAACAUCAACAAGCUUUGGAUAUGUAUUUGCAAACACACAUUUGUACAUGCACACAUUUUCCCUCUGCAGUUUUUUUCCCCAGGGUCAUAUCCCAAAUGACAUUCCCAAAGUACGCAUAAGAAAUGCCUGGAAAUCCUAGUGGUAUGAGUUCCCAGCCUUUCUCCAUUGCUGCAUGUAAAUCUAAGUCAAGCUGAAAAUUUCCAAGAGGAAAGUGACCAUAAGAAACUCACUGAGACACUUAACAGAAAUCUAAACCAACACAUUGCAAAGAGUUGCAAACAAAAACCGGUCUCAAAACCAGCACUCCUCCUGUGACAUCAUGUCACAUUAAUCACUGCUAGGUUGACCUAAUAAGGAUGAAAAUUCCCACUUCAGAGCCUGCUCUCCCAAACAAAAAAAUGCAUCUUCUGCUGUGUCGGACCUUCCUUAAUGUCUGCCAGAAGAGAUGGAGCUUUUGGAAGAUUUGCUCAGUGUCAGUGUAGCUAGCUGAGGCACAGGGUGGGAGAGAAGUCCAUCUUAGUGAGGGUCUUUUCUCCCUAAAGCAUGAUGGAGUCUCUGAGAAUGAGGAUUCAUUAUAUAUGUGUGUAUAUAUACAUACAUAUGAUGGAAUUUUUUGGCUGGAAAACCGAAGUAAAAAUAACUUGGAGAAUCCCUACUGUCAAAUUUGGCAGUGCAAAUGCUUCUUUAUAUAGAUUUGUGUGUACAUACAUAUAUAUAUAUAUAUAUAGAUAUCAAGUUAAACAAGCUUUUCUCCCUUGAUUUGAUAAUGUGCCCAAGGAGAACUUAAGUUGAAAGAUUUUACUGAUGAAUUAAUAGUCCUGUGCUUGAAGUGGAAUAGGAAAGAAUGUGAUGAUAUACAGAGAUGCAUGGUUUUGGAAAGACUAAGUAGUUAUCACCACUUGCUGGCUGAGUGAUCUGCAGUGGAUUGCUAACACUGUGCAAGGUGUGGCUGGCUACCUACUUAAAAUCUCUCUUUUGUGGACACCACUAAAAGCCUCUCAGUGAGUGAGUGCUCAGAUGUUGACAUUUGAAAUUACUAAGAUAUGAUUGAUUGCAUGUUCCCAUGCUAAAUUAUUUUGCCUGUACAUGUCUUUAUUUCAGAUUAAACAUCUCCACCUGUAAAGUCUCUGGCACCUCUGUUUUGAAGACUGUUCCACCUACCGUUCAGUGCAUGGAUGAGAUUUUGGCUGGAUGCUGAGGGGCUGGGCUCCUCUUGCUCUCUUGCUUUUGGCACUGGAGGAGGCACAGCCGGUCUACAGUCGCUGCCCAGAGGAUUUGCUGCCACGAUGGAGAUUUUGGCCUUCCUUGUGUUUCCUGCUGUGGACAGCCUAAGAGAAAUUCACAGUCCUGGAAAUGGAGGACAGAGACAAAUUGUAUGCGCUUCACUCUGACUCUUCU